CCUACGGGAGGCAGCAGUGGGGAAUCUUGCACAAUGGGGGGAACCCUGAUGCAGCGACGCCGCGUGGGUGAAGGAGUACUUCGGUACGUAAAGCCCUAUCAGCAGGAAAGAAAAUGACGGUACCUGACUAAGAAGCCCCGGCUAACUACGUGCCAGCAGCCGCGGUAAUACGUAGGGGGCAAGCGUUAUCCGGAUUUACUGGGUGUAAAGGGUGCGUAGGCGGUCCGUUAAGUCAGCGGUAAAAUUGCGGGGCUCAACCCCGUCGAGCCGUUGAAACUGGCAGACUUGAGUUGGCGAGAAGUACGCGGAAUGCGCGGUGUAGCGGUGAAAUGCAUAGAUAUCGCGCAGAACUCCGAUUGCGAAGGCAGCGUACCGGCGCCAGACUGACGCUGAGGCACGAAAGCGUGGGGAUCGAACAGGAUUAGAUACCCCAGUAGUC
RNAcentral lists this ribosomal RNA (439 nucleotides) under uncultured bacterium. RNAcentral describes it as "partial 16S ribosomal RNA". It matches the Rfam family "Bacterial small subunit ribosomal RNA", at positions 338 to 795 of the family's 1533-position model. The record is from RNAcentral.